RNAcentral lists this ribosomal RNA (460 nucleotides) under uncultured bacterium. RNAcentral describes it as "partial 16S ribosomal RNA". It matches the Rfam family "Bacterial small subunit ribosomal RNA", at positions 338 to 795 of the family's 1533-position model. The record is from RNAcentral.
CCUACGGGCGGCUGCAGUGAGGAAUAUUGGUCAAUGGACGCAAGUCUGAACCAGCCAUGCCGCGUGCAGGAAGACGGCUCUAUGAGUUGUAAACUGCUUUUGUACGAGGGUAAACGCAUAUACGUGUAUCUGUCUGAAAGUAUCGUACGAAUAAGGAUCGGCUAACUCCGUGCCAGCAGCCGCGGUAAUACGGAGGAUUCAAGCGUUAUCCGGAUUUAUUGGGUUUAAAGGGUGCGUAGGUGGUCGGAUAAGUUAGCGGUGAAAUCUCGUGGCUCAACUUUGGAAUUGCCUUUGAUACUGGUCGACGAGAGAGUAUUUGCGGUAGGCGGAAUGUAUGGUGUAGCGGUGAAAUGCUUAGAGAUCAUACAGAACACCGAUUGCGAAGGCAGCUUACCAAGCUACUUCUGACGUUGAGGCACGAAAGCGUGGGGAGCAAACAGGAUUAGAUACCCUUGUAGUC